GGUGCAGGCCGUGACUGGCGCGUUGGGAUGGGAUCGACCAUCGGGAAGCGGCCUCGUCGAAGGACGGAGUGCCGUGCGCCUGGGCCCCCUUC
Molecule: non-coding RNA, 92 nt
Filed under: Actinopolymorpha singaporensis
Lineage: Bacteria; Bacillati; Actinomycetota; Actinomycetes; Propionibacteriales; Actinopolymorphaceae
Description: ZTP sequence
Rfam family: ZMP/ZTP riboswitch aptamer (pfl RNA motif)
About the family: Previously known as pfl RNA.
Source: Rfam by way of RNAcentral